Molecule: ribosomal RNA, 253 nt
Filed under: uncultured bacterium
Lineage: Bacteria
Description: partial 16S ribosomal RNA
Rfam family: Bacterial small subunit ribosomal RNA
Source: RNAcentral
UACGUAGGUGGCGAGCGUUGUCCGGAUUUACUGGGCGUAAAGGGAGCGUAGGCGGACUUUUAAGUGAGAUGUGAAAUACUCGGGCUCAACUUGAGUGCUGCAUUUCAAACUGGAAGUCUAGAGUGCAGGAGAGGAGAAUGGAAUUCCUAGUGUAGCGGUGAAAUGCGUAGAGAUUAGGAAGAACACCAGUGGCGAAGGCGAUUCUCUGGACUGUAACUGACGCUGAGGCGCGAGAGCGUGGGGAGCAAACAGG